GGUCACUGCUAUCGGUGUUCGUCUAAGCCAUGCGAGUCAUAUGUUCUUCGGAACAUGGCGUACUGCUCAGUAACACGUGGAUAACCUGCCCUUGGGUCUGGCAUAACUCCGGGAAACUGGGGAUAAUACCGGAUAACGCAUAUCUGCUGGAAUUCUUUAUGCGUGAAAUGGAUUCGUCUGCCCAAGGAUGGGUCUGCGGCCUAUCAGGUAGUAGUGGGUGUAAUGUACCUACUAGCCGACGACGGGUACGGGUUGCGAGAGCAAGAGCCCGGAGAUGGAUUCUGAGACAUGAAUCCAGGCCCUACGGGGCGCAGCAGGCGCGAAAACUUUACAAUGCGGGAAACCGUGAUAAGGGGACACCGAGUGCCAGCAUUAUAUGUUGGCUGUCCGGGUGUGUAAAAUACACCUGUUAGCAAGGGCCGGGCAAGACCGGUGCCAGCCGCCGCGGUAACACCGGCGGCCCGAGUGGUGAUCGUGUUUAUUGGGUCUAAAGGGUCCGUAGCCGGUUUGGUCAGUCCUCCGGGAAAUCUGACGGCUUAACCGUUAGGCUUUCGGGGGAUACUGCCAGACUUGGAACCGGGAGGGGUAAGAGGUACUACAGGGGUAGGAGUGAAAUCUUGUAAUCCCUGUGGGACCACCUGUGGCGAAGGCGUCUUACCAGAACGGGUUCGACGGCGAGGGACGAAAGCUGGGGGCACGAGCCGGAUUAGAUACCCGGGUAGUCCCAGCAGUAAACGAUGCUCGCUAGGUGUCAGGCAUG
RNAcentral lists this ribosomal RNA (760 nucleotides) under uncultured archaeon. RNAcentral describes it as "bacterial SSU rRNA". It matches the Rfam family "Archaeal small subunit ribosomal RNA", at positions 21 to 782 of the family's 1478-position model. The record is from RNAcentral.